This 490-nucleotide ribosomal RNA is filed under the name uncultured bacterium. RNAcentral describes it as "partial 16S ribosomal RNA". It matches the Rfam family "Bacterial small subunit ribosomal RNA", at positions 30 to 507 of the family's 1533-position model. The record is from RNAcentral.
AUUGAACGCUGGCGGCAGGCCUAACACAUGCAAGUCGAACGGUAACAGGAAGCAGCUUGCUGCUUCGCUGACGAGUGGCGGACGGGUGAGUAAUGUCUGGGAAGCUGCCUGAUGGAGGGGGAUAACUACUGGAAACGGUAGCUAAUACCGCAUAAUGUCGCAAGACCAAAGAGGGGGACCUUCUGGCCUCUUGCCAUCUGAUGUGCCCAGAUGGGAUUAGCUUGUUGGUGGGGUAACGGCUCACCAAGGCGACGAUCCCUAGCUGGUCUGAGAGGAUGACCAGCCACACUGGAACUGAGACACGGUCCAGACUCCUACGGGAGGCAGCAGUGGGGAAUAUUGCACAAUGGGCGCAAGCCUGAUGCAGCCAUGCCGCGUGUAUGAAGAAGGCCUUCGGGUUGUAAAGUACUUUCAGCGGGGAGGAAGGGAGGAAAGUUAAUACCUUUGCUCAUUGACGUUACCCGCAGAAGAAGCACCGGCUAACUCCGUG